RNAcentral lists this long non-coding RNA (386 nucleotides) under Hordeum vulgare. RNAcentral describes it as "long non-coding RNA (HVUL_LNC008978)". The record is from RNAcentral. Lineage: Eukaryota; Viridiplantae; Streptophyta; Magnoliopsida; Poales; Poaceae.
ACCGUAUAUACGCACUUUCACCUUCCACCUUUGCUAGCCUCUUUAGUGCCGCACAAUUCUCGCCGAUGCACAAACCCACCAUAUGCCUUCCUCAAAACAGCCACCAUACCUAGCUACUAUGGCAUUUUCAUAGCCAUUCCGAGAUAUAUUGCCAUGCAACUCCCACCGUUUUGUCUCAUGACUUGUGUCUUCACUCUCAUAUUGCCAUUUCAUGAUCAUAAGAUAGCUAGCGAGAUGUUUUCAACGUCAUACGCCAUGCUAGAUCGUUGCACAUCCCGGUACACUGACGGAGGCAUUUCCGAUAGAGUCAUCAUCAUUUUGAGCUUUGAGCUAUGAGUAAAUAAAAGUGUGAUGAUCAUCAUUAUUAGAGCAUUGUCCCAUGUGAG